UACAGAGGGUGCAAGUGUUAUUCGGAAUUAUUGGGUGUAAAGCGUCUGUAGGUUGGUAUUUAAGUCAUUUGUUCCAAUUUUAAGCUUAACUUAAAAACGCAAACGAAACUAAAUAUCUGAGAGUAAGAUAGAGGUAAUGGGAACUUCCAGUGAAGCAGUGAAAUGCGAAGAUAUUGGAGGGAACACCAAAAGCGAAGGCACAUUACUGGGUCUUUACUGACACUGAGAGACGAAAGCUUUGGUAGCAAAAAGG
Molecule: ribosomal RNA, 253 nt
Filed under: uncultured bacterium
Lineage: Bacteria
Description: partial 16S ribosomal RNA
Rfam family: Bacterial small subunit ribosomal RNA
Source: RNAcentral